UGGGGAAUAUUGCACAAUGGGCGCAAGCCUGAUGCAGCCAUGCCGCGUGUAUGAAGAAGGCCUUCGGGUUGUAAAGUACUUUCAGCGGGGAGGAAGGGAGUAAAGUUAAUACCUUUGCUCAUUGACGUUACCCGCAGAAGAAGCACCGGCUAACUCCGUGCCAGCAGCCGCGGUAAUACGGAGGGUGCAAGCGUUAAUCGGAAUUACUGGGCGUAAAGCGCACGCAGGCGGUUUGUUAAGUCAGAUGUGAAAUCCCCGGGCUCAACCUGGGAACUGCAUCUGAUACUGGCAAGCUUGAGUCUCGUAGAGGGGGGUAGAAUUCCAGGUGUAGCGGUGAAAUGCGUAGAGAUCUGGAGGAAUACCGGUGGCGAAGGCGGCCCCCUGGACGAAGACUGACGCUCAGGUGCGGAAGCGUGGGGAGCAAACAGG
Molecule: ribosomal RNA, 429 nt
Filed under: Chloroflexota bacterium
Lineage: Bacteria; Bacillati; Chloroflexota
Also listed under: 1 other name
Description: Chloroflexi bacterium partial 16S ribosomal RNA
Rfam family: Bacterial small subunit ribosomal RNA
Source: RNAcentral